This 386-nucleotide unclassified non-coding RNA is filed under the name Hevea brasiliensis (rubber tree). Lineage: Eukaryota; Viridiplantae; Streptophyta; Magnoliopsida; Malpighiales; Euphorbiaceae. The record is from RNAcentral.
CGAAAGGUCUACCCUCUACAAGUAAAUUUCCAACAGGUUACAGUUCCCAUAAAGAGAAGCAGCAGCUAGAGAGUCCAGAAACAAUAACAGAGAAGAUAAUGGCACACAAUAGCAGCUUCGAGAUCGACCCAAGAAGCGGCUUUUGCAGAUCCAAUUCUAUUUUCUACAGCAAACGCAAACCAAUUCCUCUCCCACCCAAUUACUCCAUUGACAUCACCACCUUUAUUUCAUCCCAAGCUCACCGUGGCAAGACUGCCUUCAUCGACGCCACCACUGGUCACCACCUCACCUUCUUCGACCUAUGGAAAGCCGUCGAUUCCGUCGCCACCUCUCUAUCUCAGAUGGGUGUCCGCAAGGGCCACGUCAUCCUUCUCCUUUCCCCAAAC